RNAcentral lists this ribosomal RNA (486 nucleotides) under Triticum aestivum (bread wheat). Its description in RNAcentral is "partial small subunit ribosomal RNA". The record is from RNAcentral. Lineage: Eukaryota; Viridiplantae; Streptophyta; Magnoliopsida; Poales; Poaceae.
AUGGCGGCAGCGCUUCGGCUUGCGGCGAGGAGGAUCUGCGGCAGCGCCCUCGGGCCGCCGCCGCAGGCGUUCCUCGCGGCGGUGGGCAAGGUGGCGCCGAGGAGGAUCAGCACCGGCAACGGCGGGAUCUCGCUUCGCCGGACGUUCAGCGAAUCACCGCAGAAUAACCUUGUCAGCAACAACGCGGCCGAUCCGGCGAGCCUCGGCGCACGGGCGGAGGAGAAGAAGCAGGAGCUGCUCCAGAUCCUCCGGCAGAUGGACCGUCGCCACUGCAAAAACUUCGACAUGGAGAUGGAGAACAAGAAGCUGGUCCACCUGCUUGCGCGAUCCUCUCAUCCUGCACCAUACUCAAUUGGAUAUUUUCUAGAGAACCAUUGGUUAAAAUCCACGGCCGGGGCGUCUCUUGGGCUCCUUGCACUCAUCUACGUGGAGGCAGAGUAUGUAAUUCCUGCGAUCGAUCGAGUAUGUAAGAUGGUGAAGGCGUGA